Molecule: long non-coding RNA, 13353 nt
Filed under: Mytilus galloprovincialis (Mediterranean mussel)
Lineage: Eukaryota; Metazoa; Mollusca; Bivalvia; Mytilida; Mytilidae
Source: RNAcentral
AACUAGUUUGUAUGCAACGCAAUCGUGCACAAAAAUUUACGAAAGAAAAUUUAUAAAACGAACCAGAAUCGUAAUUCCUGACGCGAAAAAUUGGAAAAUUAGGAAUUAAAAGGACUUGUCAGAAAAGCAACGAAGUUUAAUGGAUAAAAACGCUAUAACCAAUUACAUGUUAAAAUUUUCUUUGCAGUACACAGACAUUAAAAUAUAUAUCUAGAACACGAUUUUUGGAUUAGCACAAGUGCAUUACUAAAUUAAGGUAAGCAUAUAAGAAUAUUAAAGAUUGAAAAAAAAGGAUUAAACUAAAAAAACACAAAAAAAAAUCUAUGAUAUGUUAAAUCUGGAAUUAUAACCUCAGUUGGGUUUAUGAAGAUAGUGGGUUUUUAACUGUAGGGAAACAUGGGGGAUACGUUGUCAUAUGUUCCCCUCGUUCCUUUUACCUUAACCCCGUUCUUUAAAAAAAAUGACAAAAAAUGACAGUCAUGUUUGAAAAAAAUGCGAAAGAACUGCCGUUUUUAUAGUGCCAUCUUUUAAUAAGUUUGAUACAAUUGUAGUUUACGGAUUUUUACGGUAAACAUAUGGCAUGUUAAGUUUUAAAUGACUUUUAACUAAUUUUAGCUGAGUUAUGACAGGAACAGGCGACAAUUAUAGACAAAAUCGUUUAUAGCCUCCCUUUUCCACCCCGAUCUUGUUCUGUCGCUUAAGCUACAGAUUAAAACGUAAUAUUGGACAUUUAGUUGUUUAGUUGCACUUUCCUCGUUUUGUUAUUUCAUAUGCACGGCUGUUAUUCGGUAUAUCUAGAAAAUUAUUGUAAAAGAAUACCAAACGUUGGUCAAGCAUUUUCAUCGGACCGUGAAUGUAAUUUUACUUCAAAAUUUGUGAAAAAUCUGUUGUAUUUUCAAAACGUAAUACUGACAAAUUGUGUUUGUUAUAAUGGUUUAACUUUCUCAAUAAUAUUGCGCAAUAAGAUAAAGAAAAGACGCAGUGCUUUAUGAAAAAUAAGAAAACACAAAAGGCGCAAACAAGUUAUUGGACUCACUGGAAAAAAAACACCGUUUUGUAUCUAUAAUGGUCACAUUCCAAUAUAUAAUUAUAUUUAAAACUGAAUGUUUUUGGUGUUUCGGGCAGUGCACUAAAAUAAGUAGUGUUGUUAACAUUAAUCGGUUAUCGGUUAACCGUCGAAAGGAUCGAAUAUCGAAUACCGAAAAUUCAAACCGAUUAACCAGACCUUUUUUUCUAUGUUAAUAGAUUUGAGAUAUGUGUAGUUUUAAAAUUGUAUAAAUUUUGUAUAUAAUUAAUCCUUUAAUAUUAGUCUCUCAUAAUUCUUAAUAGAAUGGCACUUGUAUAUGUUUUAGUAUUUAAGCUAAUGAUAUUUUACUGUUAGUUUUAAUAUACAAUAUGUUUUAUAAAUGUUAUCCAAUAUUUCAUGUUAUACGCAAUGUUUUAUAUGUUUAUUGGAAUGUAUAAUGUUAUACAAGUGGUGAGACUUUAAUAAAAUAUUGAAUCUGAAUCUGCGUAUCAAAAUGAUUAAUUAAUUAUCAAAAUAAUAGUCCUGCUAAUUAAUUUGACAGAUCUUUUGUCCAAAAUAUUGAUAACUAUAUUGUUUACACUCCAAUUUUACAAAAUUAAUUAACACACAGACAACUUUUAAAUCAGCUCGGGGCACGAUCUAAUUGAAAAGUAAACAUAAUUAGCGUACAUGUAUUGUGAGCAGCUGGUAGCUGUUUAAAUUUUAUGAUUAACUUCAUUAUUUUACUUUGAUUUAAUAUCGCGUAGAUAAUGAAAAUAUGUCACUUCUAUCUUCUAAUGCUUUGUUAUACUUUAAACGAAAUGAGGACUCAAAAAUGGUUAAACGCAAAUUAUGUGAAUGCCGGAAUCAAUGUAUAAUACUGUGUGGUACUAGUAACAAGCUUAAUGAACUCAAAUUGAAACACUCAACAGCAUAAUUUUUCUGUGACACCAGAGAAAAAAGAAAUAAUUACCGGUUAUAUACAUUGUUAAUCCGAUGAUAUUAUUAAGACGAUUUUUAUCUUUACAUUCUGAAGUUAUUACAGAUGCCAUUGUAGAUAUGGUAGUAUUGGAUUAUCAAAAAUAAACUUUUAUCAGACUGCUCAAAGCCAAGCCUUAUAAUGUCAAACCAUAAACUUCAAUUCAUCUCUUAUAAAACCGAAGACCUUUAAAACAUCAAUUCAACGAUCGCUUAACCGGUUAAUCGGUCGAAAGAUUGUCCGAGUAACCGGUUAAUCAAAACUGUUCAAUUUGACAACACUAAAAAUAAGGUUUUUUUUUUAGAUAUAUAUAUAUAUAUCUAAACCGUUCAUUUUGUGCUUGAAAACAUUGAAUUUUGUUGAUUUUUCAUUAGAAUUGAUCGUGAGAGAUCGGGCAACGCAUUAUUAUGACUAGGCGUGACCAGACGAACGCCGGACGUGUGCGCCUUUUAUACUUUAAAACCUUGAUGUUUUUGGGUGGAGGAAUAAUUUCUUUAGAAAGUUAUUGCAAACAAUAGUCUGUUCAAUUAACAAUAAACGUGUAAGGGGAAUUUGGGAGUGUGGUUAAUCAUUGAGUUUAAAAAUAUUAAACUAAUUUGAUAUUGAUCUAAUCGUGAGGAAAUGGUUUGUCUCAAGAAAAAAACCAAAUAACGCACAAAAAGAUUAAUGAUUAGGUCGGUGCCUAGAAAGGAAGAUCGGAUUUCUUAAAAGUUUUUCGGUGAUUUUUUUUCGAAUUUGUUACUCGCUUGUCUAUUUGUUGCAAGGAACACAAAUAUAUAAUUGACAAUCUUCGACUUUUUAAAUUAUUUUUUCUCUUACGUAUGUAAGACGAAAUAACAUGUAUGUAUACUUUUAUAAAUAUAUUGACUCAUUUCAAAAUACCUCUGGAAAUAUAAAUAUUUCUGCAUACUAUUAUCUAAAUGAUGAAAUUGAGAUUUAAAUUUGCAUAUUCAGACCCCGCCUCCCAAACACGUUUUUGACCAUAUUUGUUUUCACCGCAACAGUUUAGUAGAAUCGGAAAUCCGUUUAUAAAAUCUGCAUCCUAUUCGUUAAUUGUUUUAGAUUUUAUGAUGUGCUGCCUACACAAAGAGAUGUGUACUUUUAUGUUCUAGCCAUAUUUUGGCAUCUUCUCAAAAAUGUUCCCACACAAAUAAAUCACCAAAGAUUGCUCGGAAUGAAAACUGCCAUUUUGAAUUUUAUUUGAUCAUAAACAGAUAUAUACUUCUCAAACGAAGGACAUCCUUUACCAAAACCAGAAAUCAAAAACUCAAAUCGUGGGAGAAGUUAAGCUAUAUAGUAUCCUUCGAAAAUAAAUUAAUCCAUUUUUGUUAAAGACGGAUUUUAAAACCAGUAAUAUAUCUUAGUAGUUUCAAAUUUAAAUUUGAAAGUAAAACAAAUACAGGCCGGCAAAUUGGUCCUACUACUUUGAAUUUUUAGCUUUCAACUGCCUAUAUUUAGCAUUGAUUGGUAACCCGGAAAAAGUUAAAUUUGAUUAAGUGAAUUUAUCAUAUCAAAACGUUCUGAUACUAGGACACCCUACCUUUAUGAUAGAAAGAAAUGUGAUGCGUUAUAUAAUAAUUUAGCCUUGUCAUAAGUUUUAACAUAUCAAUUAUAAAAUGAAUGGUUAUCCUGGGUUUUAAUGUGGUUUAUUAAAAUUCAUUAUAUUAAGUAGUUGUCAAUUAAAGUUUCAUCUGAAAUUGACAUCUUGUGAAAUGGUACAUCUCACGUAAGGCGUCAAAUAAUUAGUUUUGUCAAUUAGGUGCAACAUAUAAAUGCACAUGAAGGAAUGAAAUAUAUUUUCCUUUUAUACCCGGACAGAUAUUUGGCAGGAAUUUUAUAAUGCAUUUUUUAGGACAUUAUGGGAGUUAUCAUAUCACAUUGUUAGUUGCAUUGUGUAUUAUAUAGACUACUAAUCCUACUACGUAAAGACCAUAGGAAAAAAGUUGUUUAUGACAUAUUUAUGUGCCAUAACUAAACGUAGAUUCGACAAAAUGGGUCGACUGGUGGGUUCUAGUAAUUUAAUCUUCAACUGUCAAAUUAUGGUAUUGACUUGCAACAGGCUAGCUAUUCAGACCCCUAAAAGGUUUGUUGCAAAAGUUUAAUUUCUUUAACGUAUAUAUGUUACAGUAAAUUUGUAUAAUCAGGGAUUAUGUAGAAUCCUUGGUUUUUCAGGGAAUAUAAAGAAUCAGUAAAAUCAUUAGUAAUUACACAUAGUCCCUGAAAAUGACCAGUGAUUUUACAUGAUCACUGAACAUUUUAAUAAUUAUUCUACAAAUUCCCUUAUAUAAUUUCAGGGAUUAUGAAUAAUUUAAGGAUCCUUUGUUUAAUAAAAAUAAAAUAAAUAAUAAUAAUAAAGUUAGACAAAUUAUAAUUUUUUACUUUCCUACUCCUUGCCAGAUGAAAUAAUUUUGCUUUAAACACAAAGGAUGAUCUUAAAGAUAUAACCAACACAGGGUUUCGAAAUAAAAUGUUGAAGACUUCAAAAUUAAUACUUUAUAGUGAUAACUUUACAUGUAUUGUUUGUUUAUAUAAAACCAGCGUCAUAUGGAUAUUCAUGUUCUAUUUGUAAAUCCACAGAGCAUGCUAGUUGUGGAACAUGUAGAACAAAUGGUGAAGAAGAUUAUGAAACAUCUUUUUUUGUUUUUGUUUUGUUUUUUUGUUUUUGUUCAAAUGAACAAGAAAGUCAAACAAAGAGAACUUACUCAUCUAAAUGUAUAGAAAAAUUAAGGGUUGACUAUUAGAACUGUAGAGGAAGCUGGUAUUUGGUGUGAUAUUCUCAUAGCAAUUCCACAGGCUAAAAAGGAAAGGGAAUCCCAAAAAACAUAAUUAUAAUUGUUCACUGAAAGUCUGAAAAACGCUAUCGCAUUGCCGAAAAAUAACAUGGUAUCUUGCUCGAACCAGUUCAAGGUUACUACUUUCCUUUUUUGGGGGGUACCUACAGAUGUGUUUACUGAACACUUUAUUUCUCUUAGGCGGGUCAUAAAAUCUGAUUCGAUAUGUGAAGGAAAAUGUUUUCUAAAAUUUGGAUAUUGUGGUAAAACAGAUGUGAAGCAUAUUAUUUUAAUAUAUUGUGUUUAUCAUUUUAAGAUACUGUGCCUAAUAUUUAAAAAAAAAAAUAGGGUUAUCAUUUUGAUAUUUUGUGCUUAACUUUUUACAAUUUAUGUUUAUACAGUGUAAUGUUGUCUUUAUAAAUAAAAUAAAACUAUUUCUUCAUUCAGUUAUUAUGUAUAAUCGCUGAUGUUUUUCUAGUUAUUAUACAUAAUCCCUGAUAAUUUCAGUGAUUAUAUAUAAUCCCUAAACUGGCCUCACUGAUUAUACAAGUUCACUGUAACAUAUAUAUAUAUAUAGAGAGAGAGAGAGAGAGAGAGAGAGAGAGAGAGAGAGAGAGAGAGAGAGAGAGAGAGAGAGAGAGAGUUGAACUCUCCUACACAAGUCAUCGAUUUCAACCUUUAAAUACCAUUCAUAAUCCAAGCUCAGCAUAUCUAAUGACCAUUGUUAGAAUGAGUAUAUCUGUCGGAGAGGAGGAUCCCGCAGAUAUCAGUUUUAUAUACCACUAAAGCAUUGCGGUGACAAAACAAUGAAGAAAUAUCGGGAAAUCAUAAUUCUUCAAUUUUUACUUUUCGAACUAUUCUCGUUGUACAAAUUUAAGAAUUCUUUGUGUAUAUGAACUCACCAUAGAUACCAGAAUUGGAUUUUGUAUUUAUGCCAGACACGCGUUUGUUUCUUCUACAAAAGAGCCAUCAGUGACGCUUGAAUAUUAUUGGGCACUGAAAUAGCCUCAUAAUAGCUAGUAAAUAAAACAACGUACUAGAUUUUAGCGAGUGAAAUUUAUCUUUUACUGAAAAAUUAUUAUACCAGGGUUUUCGAUAUCACAAACUAGUCAAAACGUUCACUAAAUCUUAUCAUCGGUACAAGGAAAUAAUUCGUAAAUAUAAGUCAACAUGCAGACAUCUUAUACGUUCAGGUAUUUCACAUCCAAUCUUUUAUGGUAAUAUUGUUUACAAAGCACAAAAAUGUUAUUAUACGCCUCAAAAGCUAACAAAACCUUUAAACAAACUUAUUAAGAAAGGAUACAGUUACGAUACUGUUGUCGAGUCAUUAAAAGAUGCAUAUUUUGGCUUUAAUUGAUUCACUUAUAGGUCUUUGCAUUGGAAUUAACACAUUUUAUUCUAAAAACUAGUUGUUGGCAUACACGGGUUAUGUUUUAUAAAUUCAUGAUGGUAUAAAUACUAAACAUAACAGAGGUUGGCCUGAUAUUCAUAUGAUAUAAGACAUCAUCUCUCAAUUAUUUAAUUAAGGUCUGAGCUGGCAUGUUAGUAACUGCUAGUAGUGUUUUUAUUUAUGUAUUAUUGUCAUUUUGUUUAUUUUUCUUUAUUUCAUAUUCGACAUCGGACUCGGACUUCUCUUAACCUGAGUUUAACUGUGUGUAUUUUUGUGCAUUUGUUUUUUCUACAUUGUCCAGAAUUAUAGGGGGAGGGUUGAGAUCUCAAAAAACAUGUUUAACCCCGCUGCAAUUUUGCGCCUGUCCCAAGUCAGGAGCCUCUGGCCUCUGUAGUUCUGGUCUGAUUUUUAUUUUAGUUUCUUGUGUAUAUUCGGAGUUUAUGACGUCCAUUAUCACUGAACUAGUAUCAUAUUUGUUUAGGGGCCAAACUGAAGGACGCCUCCAGGUACGGGAGUUUCUUGCUACAUUGAAGACCCAUUGAUGGCCUUCGGCAGUUGUCUACUCUAAUGUUGGGUUGCUGUCGCUUUGACACAUUCCCCAUUUGCAUUCUCAAUUAUAUUAUAAACAUAAGUCACCCAGUUCAAUAAAUGAAAUAAAUAUUUUACACUCUAUUGCUUUCUAAUCUUAACAGCCAAUUAUAUAUAGUUGAAGGUUGUUAUUAUCUUUUAUUUUUUCCUCCGUGGGUUUUUCUUUGUGUCUCAUACAAAAAAAAAUGAACGAAUAUAAAUUUUAACAACAGUAAUUUAACGCAGUAUUGUAAAACUUAAUUGUAUAAUGGUAAGUAGAUGUCAAGUUAGAAUUUAUGGUUAUGGACCUAACUAACACGUUGGUAUCAAGUACUCUUAAAAAAUUUCUUAUGACACUUUGAUAUGUCGUGAAAUAAAACUACUGUAAAUUAAAAAUAAAAUAGGUGUAAUCACACAUUUUUUUUAUAGAAAUGAAUUAAUUAAAUUCACCAGGAAGACUAGUAAAGAUAUGAAAAUUGCAAACAAUCAUGGUAACAAUUCUGUUGCAGGAGAAGACAUUUUGUCAUUGAAAAUUGUUGCAUUGAUCUUCCGACGGAGGCCUUUUCAAUUUAAUUAUUUGUUUUUACGAUUAUGAGAUCUGCAUUUAUGCUGUGAACGAGAACUUACGCACUUCUCUUUUUAUGCCGUUUACAACCGAGAAAUAUUGUUUGGUGGAAUUGUGAAAUAGAAGUUAAUACGUCCUUGUUCCAUCGUUUGUCGUUAUCUGCCAUCCUCAGCUUUAGCAAUGUGCUAUUACUGUAAUUUGAAUUUCAAAACUACAGAGUGACUUUUUUCGACAUACUGAUUAACUCCCAGUAGCGAAUCGGUUCGACUUUAAUAUAAUCAAUAAUAUAUUCAACGUCAAUACGGGCGAAUAAUAUCUCUCUUUACGUCACAAAUUUUAGCAUUAAAUAUACGGCAAAUGGCAAAGUCAGCUAAAUCUAGCCUGGUUAAUCAUUUUACAGUCUUACUAAAAAAGUUAUUUCAAAUAUAAUACAUAAUAGUAUAAAACAGGGUUUGGUCCCUCUACUUUCCCUUUAUUCACAUGCACGAAGCCAUCUCUAUAAUAGCUGCUAGACCCAUGAUGGUAAAGCUAAGCGAUGUAUAUACAUUAUCAGUAAUAAUAUUUAAAUUGACAAUAUAAAAUUUUCAUAAAAUGUCAUUAGAGAUUGUGGCAGAAUACAAUUUAUUUAUUUUUUUCAUCUGUAAAUUGAUUCCUACGUAAUGAAAUCACUUAGAACACUUUUAAAUCAAAAACAAUUUGCUGUUAAAAACGCUGUAUUGUAUAUAAUACAGAAAGUUGAUAUUUUAGUAUUGGAUUGUUAUAAGAUUAAGAAAUAUGACAUAUGGUCAUGCUUUUCAACUGAUUUUUAGAUGUACCGAACAACCGAAAAAAAUAGAGUUGGAGAUAAAAAGUGUCUAUGCUGUGAACUUAAAAAAGAGACUACACAUGCAAGCACAAAUUGAGGAUGUUGAUAUGAACAGUGUUUUGUUAAUAUUGAUGAAUUUUUGGGAAUAUCUGGCACAGUUUAAUCUAUUAAAAGAACAAAGGCAAACUGAUUACUGACGACGAAAAACAUGGCACAUUGAAUGAAGAUUUACCGUGUUCAACUAUAUGCUCCCAUUCAAAUGCAUUGAUCGUCCAAAAUAAAGGGGGCGGGGGCUCUUGUGACGAUUUUAUGAUGUUAUUUACAGAGGAAAUCAUGAACUGUUAUACAGGCAAAAUUUUAAUGACAAGAAAAUGUACUUUUUAUUGUUAGAGUUUAUUUUGUAGAUUGUAUAUACAUUUUUAAGAUUGUCUCUCAUAACUCCUCUUAAAUGUUUUUGGCACAACUUUUUAGAAUUUUGGAUCCUCAAUGCUCUUCAAUUUUGUACUUGUUUGGCUUUAUAAAUAUUUUGAUAUGAGCGUCACUGAUGAGUCUUAUGGAGACGAAACGCGCGUCUGGCGUACUAAAUUAUAAUCCUGGUACCUUUGAUAACUAUUAUUAGAGUAAUGUUUUUACCUUUAUUAAUGUAAGCUAAACCAAUCAUUAUUUUUGUCAUGUUUUGUAUAAAUAAUUACUGCGAGUGUGUUUAAAUAAACGUAAUAAAUUCUAUCAGUUACACCCAAUUUUGCAAAGGAUAUUGAAGGACCAGGAAAAAGAAAAAAAAGAAAAAGAAAAAAUAUUUUGUUAAUAAUAAUUACGAGUCUGAACUGAGGUAAAUAAAUAGGCAGUUCAUUUACGGAUAUAAGAAACAAACUUGACAAAAGUCUUAAGAUGGCUUGUUUUGGUUUAUUUGCUGAUAUUUUAUUUGAAAAAAAUAACAUGAAAAUUAAUUGUACUUCUAUUUACUCUGAAGAAGGGAAACAGGGGAAAGAUAAGUCUAAGUAAAUCUCCGACUUGAAUCAUUCACAUAUAAAGCUUGCACUAUUCUGCCUGCGUCACGAUGUUCCUUCUACAUGAAUUUAGUAUACGAUAUUUUUAUCUUAUUGAUGUAUGUAUUCAACAAAAGUUCCUUUGAAAAAUGUCAAUUAGUAUUGCAUUAAUUUUACAUAAAUAUCCCUUUUUUGUACUUUACCUCCAAAUAAAUAAUGAAAAUAGCCAAGUUUGACAAAAGUUAAUGGGUUUCCCUUUCAUACGAAAACUGAACAUAAAUGUUUCCUAUUAUAUAUCAAUUUCAAACUCAUAUUGAUAUGUUCAAACAGUUUAUGUAAGUUUGUAUUGUUAAUGUAAGCACAUGAGUGUCUAGAUGGGUUCCUUUAUUUCUUUAUUCUUUAAUUUUCACAUCAUUUUCUUCAUCCUUUAUUGAUUUUGCCUAUUAUUGUCUAGUAUUUAUUAUUUAUGCCUAUUUUGUUUUUCUUCUUAAUUUUCCCCACUUUAUUCCGCACAUUUUGCGAAAUAUUAUAUGCCCCCGGUAUUCUUUCAAUAUAUAUAUAUAUAUACAUAUACUAGUACCAUCCUAAAUCUAUAAUUAAUUGAGAGUAACUGUUGUCUCCCAUGAGAAAAGAUGUGCGAUAUUAUUCGGACAAUUUUCUAGUGAUUUAAAAGCUUUCUGUCAAGAAUUUUGUCAAUAUAUUUAUUAAAUAAAGACUUAUUGUGUACAAACAAAAUAUUUUUACAUACUACGAUUAGAAACAACAUACAGUUUUUUGUAUUGACCGUCAAAAACAAUACUUCAAAGUGUUUAACAACGAGUAGCAGUGAUCUGUUUUAAACCACCCGUAUUAUUGCAGUGUGUCAAAAAUCGUACUCUUUCUACCGAAAUGACCAUUGAUCCAACGAACUUUAAACUGACAAAACAUUAAAGAUCUAUGAAUAAAUGCAUAAUGGCCUGCCCAAAGACUCUUUUGGUACCCGAUUACUUCCAUUUUGCGAUAAUGACGCAAUAGCUCUAGAACAACAGAAAACUUCUCUAAAACUAUUUUGUUGUUUCCGUGCUCACUUUCUGGCUGCGCGCCCACUGCAUGCGAUGUUUUUACGAGAAAAUGUGGAUAGAAGACUGCACGAAUGCAAUUUUUCCAUUUUUUCUAUAAAUUCUUUUUCCCAAAGAUAUGUGCAAAUUUAAAAUAAUUCCCAAUAACUUUUGAGAUCACUAAGUCCUUCGGAUAUUUUAUAUAGAUUUAAAGCCGGACUUAAGAAAAGUAUAUGCAAUAUAAACAUGUGUCAAGUCAAAAUUGGAUGAAAUGAAACUAUAAACUUGUACUUGUUUCCGUUUUAUGUUUAUAAUAUCAUAUUCCCCAGUAAAUUAAAUGCGAUUUGUAUUUCCCUUUUUUAAUAUUAUUUAUUACUUUUAAUUAGAAAUAUAGCAACCAUGCUUAACAAUUGUAAAAGCAAAAAAGAAGAUUCAUAUAUGUUAUUUUAUUUAAUUAAAAAUACACCAACCUAUCUUCAAAGUACAUUGUCAUAAAAAACAUUGUACAAAACAAAAUAUCACAUGUUUUCACAUAAAAAAUAAAUAAAAUAAAGUGAUAGAAAACAUACUUUAUACAUAUGGCAUUGGCAAUUAAGCAAGACAUCGGAAUCCACAGAUCAAUAAUGUCAUACACCCAAACAAACAAAACAAAAAAGUUAAUGUUUACACCUACCACAAUCGACUGUUUUACGAAAAUUUGUCUAUAAUUAUAAGAUUUACAAAUAUCUCGAAUAUCAGAUGCAUACAAUAAUAAAUAAUGCACCUAUAUUAAACUGGCUUUUGAAACCCACAGAAUUUUUUUUUUCCAUAUGGGCAGACAUUAUAAGUAAUAAAAAAACAUAAGUGCCUACAAAAUUGGAUUUUUUAUGUGUAAUUACCUUCUCUAAAAAAUUUAAUGUUCGAUUUUUGUGUAUGUGUGUGUGGGGGUCUCUAACAAAAGAUUCCAUUGUUGUUUAUUUAUUUAUUAUUUUUUUUUUUGGGGGGGGGGGGGUAAUUUCAAAUGGGAUUUCUGCCUAAGGAAUAUCGAAUGAAACUAAUAGCUUCGCACGGUGAAGGGAAGCAAUUAUAAAAUAAAUAAAUAAACAAAUAAGUCAUGCAUAAGAAGGAACAAUUAAAACAGCAGUCAAAUUAUUUUAUUGUAAAGAUUUAAAGAUUCAAAAAUCUUUAUUUAACCUCAGACAUGAUAAGUGUGCAAGAGGAUUGUAUGCAUAUGAAAUAUUUUUUUAUUGUUUGUUUCUUUGCGUUUUUGAUUAGGUUAGUUUAUUUUUGUUUGUUUGUUUGGUGUUUUGUUUGAUUUUUUGCUGGGCAUAGUUUGUUAUCAAAACUCUUAUUUCAAUUUUCAGGUGUAAUAAAGAAUCGGACACAAAAGGUUCGCAGUUUUAGGUCAAAUUUGAUAUUUUUUUUAUUCAAUUUUUUGCUGUUAUUUAAAACAUUUUGUUUUUAUCAGCUUUAAUCAUUUCCAGAAAUAAAUACGUUGAUGUAUUUUCGGAACAUGACAGAAAGCAUUUACGAACAAACUUCCUUUUCUAAAUUAUUUGAGUACUUACCUGACUAAGCUUAAUAACUAUAAAGACGAAUAGAUCAUUUCACCAUGAUUGCUACUUAUAAUUUCAUGGCCAUAUUAAGUAGAAGUAGUCAGGAUAACAGUGAUUCGCUUUUUUGAUAAAAGAAAUUUCAUUUGUUUUUUAAUUUGGAAGUUAACGAUCAAUCAUUUACUUGGCUAUCAUGUAAAGACACAUUUUCCUGUCAAUCCUUAUGUUUUUCUAAAUGUCUAGACUUAAAGAAAUAAGAAAAAACAAUAGUUACAAUGCAUAAUAUAUCUUUAUUUAUCCAUAAUAGUGAGAGAGAAAAAGAACGUCAUAAACUUAUUUGUCUUUUAGUUGAUUGCAACCGUCAUUAAAGAGCAUGUAACUAUAUGAUUUUUUUUGAUUUUUUUUCAUGAAAAAAAGAAGAAUGUAAUUAUAUGAAUUUCAACCGCAAACAAUAUCAACAUAUGUAAUUUGUUCACUGUCUUCUUUAUUACAUCAAACGGAAAGUCGAAAACAGGGAGUAAUGUAAUAUGCUCUUGAAUUAAAAGUAGUUACUUAAAUGAUUAAACAAUUUUUUUUAUUAAAAUGAAAGGAAUGGUGAUGUUUCUUUAAAAAAAAAUACGAAUGCUUGGUAUUGUGUUUUAACACUACACCUCUAACCAAUUAAAAUUAUAGACUGUGUGUGCAUUGAAUUACAAAUUAAAACAUGAAAUUGUAUAUACAUGUACAAUUGUGUUACAUCGUAUAUAUUAUAACUUAAUUAUAUAACAAUUUGACAAGAAAAGGUUUCUUAUAAAACAGUAAUUUAAUUGUGAUAUGUGUUAUAAUGAAAAAUAAAAUUUGAUACGAAUACACCUGUGCAAUAUGUAAAUUGAAACAUUCAUAUCAUAAUCAAGGUCAUACGAUACUUGAAACUUAUUAGUAAUUGAAAAAAAGGUAUUUUUUAUAUACUUAAACAUGUUUAAUGCGAAGUUUUACUAUAAAUAAAAAAAAAACGUGUACAUAGACUUUCCAAAUAUAUACAGCUCUGUCGAAUGACUUUUUUGUACUUUGGGGCCAAAACCCGAAAUUUAUUUUUCUAUCCAAACUACAGGAUGAAAUGUUUUUGUCGAUUAUACUGCAAGGGUUUAAGGGUUCGUAAUGAAUGUUGGGGUAGGGGACUUGCACAGAGGGACUUAGUUUAAUAUAUUCUGUAUGCAUGCAUUGGUUCAAUAAUUUCAUAGUUACGAUAUAUCUGUUUUAUGUGAGUUUAAAUACCAUUUUUUUAUUGUAAUUUUAUUACAGCGUAAAAGCGUUGACCGAUCACGUUCGGUAUGAACCGCGAAGCGUUAAAUUAUCAUAUGAUUACAUUUUUAUGUUAAAAAAUUUCUUGUCAUAGUGAGCACGUGCUUUGAUUUUAUAUUAUUAUUCAGAAGUAAAUAAUCGUAUUGGAAUGUCUCUCUGUCAGUCAAAAGUAUGGAAUUUUGUAAAACACCUUAAAGUAUAUACUAAAAGUACAUCUUUGAAAUACAGUAAUGAUACUUAAAACGAAUAAUCAAAAGUAAUUUGCGUAUCCUUUGUUACUUAUAUGUACGCAGGUGUCAAUUUUUAUCGAUCGCUUAAUAUUUUGUUUAUAUUUGUAUUUCAGAGAGCAUCAUGACACUAUGAUUUGUAAAAGUGUAAUUUAGACAUGAACACGUUUUAUUGGUUAAUACUGCUAUCAAUAUGUUUCCCUAAAG